UACGUAGGGUGCAAGCGUUGUCCGGAAUUAUUGGGCGUAAAGAGCUCGUAGGCGGCUUGUCGCGUCGGCUGUGAAAACCUGGGGCUCAACCCCGGGCCUGCAGCCGAUACGGGCAAGCUAGAAUUCGGUAGGGGAGACUGGAAUUCCUGGUGUAGCGGUGAAAUGCGCAGAUAUCGGGAGGAACACCAAUGGCGAAGGCAGCUCGCUGGGACGUUACUGACGCUGAGACGCGAAAGCGUGGGGAGCAAACAGG
Molecule: ribosomal RNA, 253 nt
Filed under: uncultured bacterium
Lineage: Bacteria
Description: partial 16S ribosomal RNA
Rfam family: Bacterial small subunit ribosomal RNA
Source: RNAcentral